GAUGAACGCUAGCUACAGGCUUAACACAUGCAAGUCGAGGGGAAACGGCAUUUAGUGCUUGCACCGAAUGGACGUCGACCGGCGCACGGGUGAGUAACGCGUAUCCAACCUACCCAUUACUGUGGGAUAACCUGCCGAAAGGCAGACUAAUACCGCAUAGUCUUCGAUGACGGCAUCAGAUUUGAAGUAAAGAUUUAUCGGUAAUGGAUGGGGAUGCGUCUGAUUAGCUUGUUGGCGGGGUAACGGCCCACCAAGGCGACGAUCAGUAGGGGUUCUGAGAGGAAGGUCCCCCACAUUGGAACUGAGACACGGUCCAAACUCCUACGGGAGGCAGCAGUGAGGAAUAUUGGUCAAUGGGCGCGAGCCUGAACCAGCCAAGUAGCGUGCAGGAUGACGGCCCUAUGGGUUGUAAACUGCUUUUGUAUGGGGAUAAAGUCAAUCACGUGUGAUUGUUUGCAGGUACCAUACGAAUAAGGACCGGCUAAUUCCGUGCCAGCAGCCGCGGUAAUACGGAAGGUCCGGGCGUUAUCCGGAUUUAUUGGGUUUAAAGGGAGCGUAGGCCGGAGAUUAAGUGUGUUGUGAAAUGUAGACGCUCAACGUCUGACUUGCAGCGCAUACUGGUUUCCUUGAGUACGCACAACGUUGGCGGAAUUCGUCGUGUAGCGGUGAAAUGCUUAGAUAUGACGAAGAACUCCGAUUGCGAAGGCAGCUGACGGGAGCGCAACUGACGCUAAGCUCGAAGGUGCGGGUAUCGAACAGG
RNAcentral lists this ribosomal RNA (760 nucleotides) under Prevotella melaninogenica. RNAcentral describes it as "bacterial SSU rRNA". It matches the Rfam family "Bacterial small subunit ribosomal RNA", at positions 28 to 776 of the family's 1533-position model. Lineage: Bacteria; Pseudomonadati; Bacteroidota; Bacteroidia; Bacteroidales; Prevotellaceae. The record is from RNAcentral.